Molecule: ribosomal RNA, 753 nt
Filed under: uncultured bacterium
Lineage: Bacteria
Description: bacterial SSU rRNA
Rfam family: Bacterial small subunit ribosomal RNA
Source: RNAcentral
AGAGUUUGAUCCUGGCUCAGAACGAACGCUGGCGGCAGGCUUAACACAUGCAAGUCGAACGAACUCUUCGGAGUUAGUGGCAGACGGGUGAGUAACACGUGGGAACCUACCCUGUUCUUCGGAAUAACACAUGGAAACGUGUGCUAAUACCGGAUACGCCCUUAUGGGGAAAGAUUUAUCGGAAUAGGAUGGGCCCGCGUAAGAUUAGCUAGAUGGUGAGGUAAUGGCUCACCAUGGCGACGAUCUUUAGCUGGUCUGAGAGGGUGAUCAGCCACACUGGGACUGAGACACGGCCCAGACUCCUACGGGAGGCAGCAGUGGGGAAUAUUGGACAAUGGGGGCAACCCUGAUCCAGCCAUGCCGCGUGAGUGAUGAAGGCCUUAGGGUUGUAAAGCUCUUUCAGUGGUGAAGAUAAUGACGGUAACCACAGAGGAAGCCCCGGCUAACUUCGUGCCAGCAGCCGCGGUAAUACGAAGGGGGCUAGCGUUGUUCGGAUUUACUGGGCGUAAAGCGCACGUAGGCGGAUUGGUCAGUUAGGGGUGAAAUCCCGGAGCUCAACUCCGGAACUGCCUUUAAUACUGCCAGUCUAGAGACCGAGAGAGGUGAGUGGAACUCCUAGUGUAGAGGUGGAAUUCGUAGAUAUUAGGAAGAACACCAGUGGCGAAGGCGGCUCACUGGCUCGGUACUGACGCUGAGGUGCGAAAGUGUGGGGAGCAAACAGGAUUAGAUACCCUGGUAGUCCACGCCGUAAAC